Haplochromis burtoni (Burton's mouthbrooder) is the source of this 3765-nucleotide long non-coding RNA. RefSeq lists it as uncharacterized. The record is from RefSeq and is a predicted model, not a curated record. The transcript is spliced from 8 exons. NCBI's taxonomy places the organism in Eukaryota, Metazoa, Chordata, Actinopteri, Cichliformes, Cichlidae.
CGUCGGCAGCUGUGUGUGUGUGCGUGCGUGCCCCCGCGCGCGCGUAGAAUCCGACAGCACGCCGGGACUGCGUUUCCUAAGGAAAGCUCAGCUCUCAGUUUUGUGCCCGUCUUAUUGCCGCUCUCAUUGUCUUUGUCGGCAGUGAUAAAGAGAGCAGUUCAUUCGGGGGCCUGUUUUUGGAAUAAGAAAAAGGCAUUGCUGUUUUCUGACUUUGAGUGAAGAAAGAAGGGACUCCUCUGGAAUUUCCUAAGGAAUUUAUUCGGACAGCCCAUGUUGCGAGGGCUUUGCAUUCUUCCGCCUGGGUAUAGAAUGUGACCAACCAUUCCGCACUAGGGAAAUUCGGAGGAGUUCUGUUCUUUCGUCGCUCUGGUCCGAGGCAGCAAUCGCAGCUGAUUAUUCCAAACGGGUGGGGACAAAGGGGGCAUUAAUUUCACUGGUGUGUCGGUGAGGUAAAACCGCAGCAUCGGGCAGCAUGUUGGCACCUGCGUGAUCCCACCAAAGAAGCCUCAUUACUCGUUCUCUUUCCUGAGACGUCAACCACAGGAUGAGGCCUGCGGCAGCCUUACGUCUUAACCUAAUUUCAUGGUCUGUGGGUUUGGAUGGAUGGCUCUGCUGCAACCUUUACACCGAGGGGAGGAGAGAGAGUGCCGUGAGUGCGUAUGGUGUGCGCGCGCGUGUGUGAGCAUCUAUGUGAGUGUGCACUUACACAAUAGCACAAUUGGGGAAGAGCAAAGAAGAAAGAGAGAGAGAGAGACCGGAUGCACCGCUACAAUAGCACAGAGAAUUGUAGUCAGUGGCAGAUAUUAACCUUUUAACCUUGUACUUUCUGUUAACAAAAAUACAUUAAGCUGGAUAGCUGACAGCGAAUUGGGGUUUUACAGACUUUGACUGAGCAUGACUGAAUGAUGAGGUGGACCUAUUUUGUGGUAAUGCACUUCAAUUACAGAAGCAAGUCUGCUAAAAACACAUAAGCUCAAGCAAGAUAUAUUAGGGAAUUUGGUAACGGCAAAUUAUUCCCGUUGUUGAUCUGAAUGACAUAUGAACUACGCCUGACUGGAAAAGCUGGAGCAGGGAAAACAAUGCAACAUUACAUACAGAGCAGCGGAUGAACUUUAACGAUCCCAAACAGAAUUAGUCGUUGAUUAGAUAACAGGUAUUUUCAAGUAGAUGCGAUUAUUUUUGGGGUCAGCGUAACAGCUCGGUGUGUUCUUAAGCAAAAUGUCAACAUUGCCCUUUUAGUUUGUCCGAGUAUCUUUUGGUGUGACGGCUUAUUUAGCCAAACCAUGCAUGACACCAAUUAUACUGGAGGGAAAUCGAUUCCAACAAAGCUCUCUGCUUGGACAAACAAUAAAAUGAUCAAAGUGACUGGAUGGGUUUUUUUUCUUCCAACAAGCAGCAAAAUUACUUUGUACUUUAAAGCUUAGUUUUUAACCCGGUCAAAAUGGGUAAUUCUUAAAGCUGUUAAAGAGUGUUCUCCAGCGUGAUAUGAAGACAUGGAUAUACACACAGAGAGGAAAAAGAAAGCUAAAUAAGCAGCAAGAGCAACAAAGAGGAAGAAACAAGAUGAAAGACGAACGCUGCUUCGCUAUAACAACAGAAGGACAUCUCAUUGUUUUGUUGCAAAUUGUCCCAAUCGAGUCCACAGAGUUUUACCGUAGGCACAAUUGUUUUUUCACACAGUAAGUGACAUAGCUGGUCACAGUCUAUUUAAAGAAACUGAUACUUAGUGCAGUCUUCUUGCUGUAGCUUUCACAUAUCAUAAUGCAUAAUAAAUCACAUUUUGAUGUUAUGACAGAACGUGCAAAUUUACUAAUAACUAAUAAUAAUAGAUUUGUCAUUUCUUUUUGGUAAUUUGUAUCAACUUAUCCAAAAGUUCAAAUAAUAAAAAUUGCUAACACAAUUUAAAGCAAAUCCUUCCCGUGCUAGGUGUAGCGGCACUGUUCUUCAGCGGAUUAUUCACGGGCACAUUCUGUGCUCAAUUAAAAACGCGCCAUUUUCUAAUUAUUAACGGUUUACCUUUGUCUCACACAUGGUUCUAAGAGACCACCACUGCUGCAUUUAAUCAACCCCUUACCUUGCUUUUGAGACAUUUAAUUUUCCACGCUGUCAUUAUCCAUGUGCAUUUUGUCAAGUUCAGAAGAGAGAAGAAACAGUGAGUCGCCCAGUUUGCAUGAAGCUUAUUUUAAUUACUGUAGUAUCUUACUCUGCUACUGUCCUCACUGAAAGUACAGUACUGUGAAACAUAUUAAAACCAUAAUGAAUAUGCUAAUUAGCCUUUUUUAUAUUCAGAACCCAGCUGUGGUUUUAUAUUCUAAUGAUAAAAGCAUCUUUUUAUGUAAGCUAUAAUAAGUGCAUGUAAUUGCUGAUAUUAUUGUAAUUGAUGUCUAUGUUACGAUGCAGGAGUUCAUCGUGACUGAGCUACGAGUCUACAGCACGGCCUUAAUCCAUUUAACUUGUGAUUGAACACAUAAACCAGUGAUUUGAGCAAACCGCUGGUCAGUGUUUUUAUCAGGAAGGAACAUUUUCAUGGUCAAAAUGUAUACAAAUGGCCAAGGCUACAUAAUCACACAUGGAUUAAUGCACGAAGCCCAAAAACUUUCCUACACCAAGGAGGCACAGAGUUAGCAUGGUAACAUGUUUAAAUUAGCACUGUAUAGUCAAGCGUAAAAGAUUUUAGAAAGUAUGAAAGUAUCAAACUUUAGCAUAUAAUUUAAAAUACAAAAGGCACCUCCACUGCAAACAAUAAAUAAAUAAAAUAAAUAAAAAACUUUUGUUAGGCGUUACAGUGUGCUACACUAUUUUUUGACUGUGCUUUAACAAGGGAAGGCUGGUCGCUGUAUUUGUCGCCAGGAAAUGUGAUGAUUACUUUUUAAGGACAUGCUUUUGCAUCAGUGUCACUGCAGCAGCAAGAGUGAAAGUUGUGCCGGAUGUGCGGAUUUGAACGGGAAUAUUAAAUUACACCUGCUUUUGAUAAUAAUGCCGGGCAUGCUGAGUAUCUGUGACAGUCCAAACCCACCCUGAGGACACAACAAAUUGUACCUGCUGUUCCCGAUGGGCUGUCCAGGUGUGCUAAUAAUUUCUUCAUUUUAAAGACUGUUUACUGCUCGGUGCCGUUCUUCCUGUUCUCAAAGGACUCAAUUCAGUGCUGUGAAAAAUUAAGUAGAUCUCAUGAUUCAAUAGCUUGUAGAAUCUUUGGAGAAGAAUCAUUUCUGCAUGACUUGGUUGUAAAAGACUUUUGGGGACUUUUUCUUUAUAGUGGUGCUUUAGUUCACUGAAGUUUGCAAGUAUUUGUUUAUGCACAGAGUUCUUAAAGUCCCACGACAGCAUUUCAAUCAGACCGAGGUCUGGACUUUGACUGGGUCAUUGCGAUGCCUCGACUCUUUUCUUUUUCAGUCAUUCUGUUGUGGAUUUGCUGCUGUGCUUGGGAUCAUUGUUCUGUUGCAUGACCCAGUUUGGGCGAAGCUUCAGAAGUCAGACUUUCUUUUUCGCAGGACCGUAUGGCAUGUGCCAGAACCACACAGACCAUUUCCUGAAGUCUGCUGUGACUGUCAAGCCCCAUGGUCCAGGAAAGCCUUAUAUGUGAUUACCUCAUCAUACAGUUCUGCAGACUCCCAUAUUUGGCAUGGCCACAGCCAGAGACUAGAGAUGCCAAAAGUUCAGUUACACUUUUAGAUAGUUCUUGCCAACAAAUAUAGCAGGAAGUAUUUCACAUUCUGAGGCUGGAUCAUAAAAUAAAUCAAUUUUACACUGUGUGGAUACAAAUUG